GGGGCAGCUUUCAGCCGCCGUACACGCGGAGCUCGGCGGCCGCCGCGGCUCAGCGCUCUAUUGUUCCGCGGCACCGGAGACCGGUCUCCUACGCUGAAGGUGUUCAGAGCGGCAAGCAGCUGAGAGCAGAGCGACAGCGGGGAAGGCGAGGACAAACCGCCCAGGCUGCCUCCUGUCACCAAGGAACCCGGCUCAGAAGGACAAAAAAGCGCCUGACAUCUGCUUUUUCCUUAUCUUUCUUCUCUGUGUUGACUCAGUGUUUUGCGUGGAUUUAAACGCCUUUGAGAGUCAUGCCGUUCUGCGGCACGGAGUCGGGCUCCUUUCACGCCCUCUGGGGCACGGUCCCCUGUCUGUGGAGAAUAGUGCUUCUCUUUUGUGGUGCCUGGGAUGUUCUGGCACAAACUGCGGGGGAAACAAAGUCAGUAUAUACCUGGAAAACAGGGCCCUGGGGCAGAUGCAUGGCCAGUGACUGUGGCCCCGGGGGCCGGCAGAGCCGGGCGGUGUGGUGCACCCACGUGGACGGCUGGACCACGCUGCACACCAACUGCCCACAGGAGCUGCGGCCUGAAAGCCAGCAGAGUUGCUUCCGUGUCUGCGACUGGCACAGGGAGCUGUAUGAUUGGCAGCUGGGCCCUUGGAACAGCUGCGUACCAGUGGCCCUCCGCUCCACAGCGGGGCGCUGGUCAGCCGAGUGCUCCGGCGGCGGGGAAGGCAUCCAGACCCGGGAGGUGGCUUGCGUUCACACGGCCGACGGGGCCCCGGCGGAGGAUGCCAUCUGCGAGUAUUUUGAGCCCAGACCGCGGCUCGAGCAGGCGUGCCUCAUUCCUUGUCCCCGGGACUGUGUAGUGUCUGAGUUCUCCCCCUGGACCACCUGCACCAAGACCUGUGGCGGCAGCCUGCAGCGGCGCGUCCGCGGAGUUCUGGCACCUCCUCUCUUCGGCGGCCUGCCGUGCCCCAACCUGACAGAGUUCCGCGCCUGCCAGCUCCCGGCGUGCCGGGCCCCCGAGGGCCAGUACAGCCUGAAGGUCGGUCCGUGGGGCCCCUGCACACUGCCGCACUCCCGCCCCGCACGGCAGACCGGGCGCAGGAAAAGCAAGGAGAGGAACCACGGGAGGGGGGUGGAACGAGACCCGGACGCCCGGGAGCUCGUUAAGAAAAAGCGGAACCGGAACCGGCAGAACCGGCAGGAGAGCGACCUGUGGGAGGUGCAGGUGGGGUACCAGAGCAGACAGGUGAUGUGCAGCCACAGGACCGGCAAGACUGCUGCCCUCAGCCUCUGUGACCAGGACCAGAUUCCAGUGACCUUCCAGUCCUGUGUCAUGGCCAUGGACUGUGUGGUGGGUGACUGGACCCAGUGGGGCUCCUGCUCGAAGGACUGCCACGACCCCAACACCCCCGAGGGCCUGCGGACCCGCACCAGGCCCGUGCAGAAGCUACCCGUGGGGGGAGGAGCAGAGUGUCCCCCACUGGAGGAGUCUGAGCACUGCUCCCCCCCAGUAGAAGAGGUCCUGCCCUGUGCUGCCUACACCUGGAAGACCACGGAGUGGAGUGAGUGCAAGGUGGACGUGUUGCUAAGUCAACAGGACAGACGCCGUGGCAACCAGACCAGCCUGUGUGGGGGCGGGCUGCAGAGCCGGGAAGCCUAUUGUGUCCAGAGCAACGCAGAGCUGCUUGCCUACCUCAACAACCUCAAGGACAAGGAAGGCAGUCGGUCUGAAGAUGAACAGAAGCCAACUUCUCCUCCAUUCCUUUCCAUUACAUUUGAAAUUACAGCUGCUCGUCCGGUGGAUAACAAACUGUGCAUGGGGUCCGUCCCGAACACGACUCAGCAGUGCCACAUCGCCUGUCCCGUGGAGUGCGGGGUCUCUUCCUGGGCGGCGUGGGGGCUGUGCACCUCUGAGAACUGCGAGGACCUGGCUGGGAAAAAGGGGCUCAAGAUGAGGAAACGCGUGAUUGUCAGUGAGCCAGCGGGCGGGAUGGAGAGCUGUCCACACCUGGGGGAGGCGAUACCGUGCGACGAGCCGACCUGCUACAGCUGGCAGCUGGUGGAGCUGGAGGACUGUGUCCCGAGCGGCGAGCGAGAGUGCGGCCCCGGAACACAGCUCCCGCAGGUCCAGUGCGGUGACAGUGACGGUAACGUGGUGCACCGUCAGCUCUGUGAGGGAACCUCCUACCCGCAGCCCGUGCCCUGCGAGCUGCCCUGUCCCACAGACUGCGUCCUCAGCCCCUGGACGUCAUGGUCCUCAUGCUCCCACACGUGCUCAGGCAGAGCUGUGGAGGGCAAGCAGAUGAGAGCUCGUGCCAUUCUGGCUUACAGUGUUGGAGAAGAGGGGGCUCCUUGCCCCAAUGCCAGCUCCCUGCAGGAAGUGCGGAGCUGCAACGCCCAUCCCUGCACGGUCUACCACUGGCAGACGGGCCUCUGGGGCCAGUGCACUGAGGACGCGUCCGCCUCAGUGUCCAACGGCACCAGCUGGAGCGGCGACACCGCGUGCGGCAUCGGCAUCGGCGUACAGGCCCGCAAGGUCAUCUGCGUCCGGGUCAACGUGGGCCAGGUGCCUCCCAAGAAGUGCCCCGAAAGCCUCCGCCCUGACUCAGUGCGGCCGUGCUCACUUCCUUGCAAACGGGACUGUAUAGCUACCGGCUUCAGCGACUGGACCCCGUGUCCAUCCACCUGCCCAGAAGGUGCAAGUGUGACGGUGAAGCAGUCUCGGAAUCGCAUCAUUAUUCAGUGGCCAACCAAUGGGGGCCAAGACUGUCCUGAAGUGCUUUAUGAGGAAAGGACGUGUGACGCCCCAACUGUCUGUCAGGAAUACAGGUGGAAGACUCACAAGUGGCGUCGCUGCCAGCUGGUCCCUUGGUACAUUCGCCAGGACAGCCCAGGUGCCCAGGAGAGCUGUGGGCCGGGCAUUCAGAUGAGAGCCGUCUCGUGUCGGGGGCAGGAGGGCGGGGCGGCCGACAUCGCGGAAUGCAUGAAGUCCGCCGGCCCCAUGCCAGGCGUCACGCAGACCUGCCAGCACCCGUGUCAGGACCACUGUCAGCUCACCAGCUGGUCCAAGUUCUCGCACUGUACUGCAGACUGCGUGGGCGGGAGGACGCGGAAACGGGUCCUCAUAGGGAAGAGCAAGAAGAGGGAGCAGUGCCGGAACCCGCAGACGUACCCCCUGAGUGAGACUCAGUACUGCCCCUGCAACAAGUACAGCGCCCUGCCUGUGGGCAACUGGUCAGACUGCAUCCUCCCGGAAGGCCGACUGGAGGGCGUACUGGGAAUGAAGGUGCAGGGAGACAUAAAGGAGUGUGGUCAGGGAUACCGCUACCAGGCUGUCAUGUGCUAUGACCAGAACGAACGUCCUGUGGAAACAUCACGCUGCAACAGUCAUGGGUAUAUCGAGGAGGCGUGCAUCAUCGCCUGCCCCUCAGACUGCAAGCUCAGCGAGUGGUCCAGCUGGUCUCGCUGCAGCAAGUCCUGUGGCAGCGGAGUCAAGGUCCGGUCCAAAUGGCUGCGAGAGAAGCCGUACAACGGUGGGCGUCCGUGUCCCAAACUGGACCACAUCAACCAGGCACAGGUGUAUGAAGUGAUUCCCUGUGUCAGUGACUGCAGUCAGUACAUGUGGGUGGCUGAGCCCUGGAGCACCUGGAAGAUCAGCAGUGUAGAGCAGAAGAACUGCGGCGAGGGGGCUCGCACCCGGAAAGUCCGGUGCAUGCAGAACACCAGUGAUGGGCCGUCUGAGGUGGUGGAGGAGUACUUGUGUGACCCUGAGGAGAUGCCGGCUGGCACUGAGCACGGCCACCUGCCCUGUCCCGAGGACUGCGUCCUGUCCGACUGGGGGCCCUGGGGUCGCUGCAUCUUGCCAUGCAAUGGGUACAACAGGAGGGAGCGGACGGCACGCGUGCUGAGGCUGCCGGAAGCAGGGAGACAGUGUCCAAACGCGACCCAGACUGAGGCCUGCGCCCUGAACAUCAACUGCUACUACUUUAUCUAUAACAUCACAGACUGGAGCACCUGUCAGCUGAGCGCGAUGGCCGCAUGCGGCAGCGGCAUCAGGACGCGCAUGCUGGACUGCGUGCGCAGCGAUGGCAAGUCCGUCGACCUGAAAUACUGCGCGGAGCUUGGUCUGGAGAAGAAGUGGCAGCUUAAUGCUUCUUGCGUGGUGGAAUGCCCCAUUAACUGCCAGCUCUCUGACUGGUCGCCCUGGUCGGAAUGCUCGGAGACCUGUGGACUUACAGGAAAGAUGUGGAGGCGGCGUGGCGUGACGCAGCCGUCCCGGAGCGACGGGCGGCCGUGUCCCCCGCAGAUGGAGCAGUGGCAGCCUUGUCCCGCCCGGCCAUGCUUCCGGUGGCAGUACAGCUCGUGGUCUCCCUGCAGGGUGGAGGAUGCGGACUGUGGGGAGGGCCUCCGUAUCCGCAAUGCGUCCUGCAUGGUGUCGGACGGCCUGGGGGGCGAGGAGGAGAGCGUGGUGGAGGAGGAGCUCUGCGCCGACCUGGAGCCGUCUGCAGACGGAGACGAGCGCGUCGCCCUGACGGAGGCCUGCACACUGCCCUGCCCGGGUCUGAAAGUUCGUAAGCUGAAAGUUCGGGACUGCUACUUAACGGAGUGGAGCGCUUGGAGCCCCUGUCAGAGCAACUGCAUUAAAGGGCUGGAGCAGGGCUUCGGCUCGGCCCAGGUGCGGUCCCAGUCCGUCAUGGCCCAGGAGCCUGAGAACCUGCUGCAGUGUCCCGAACAGGUGUGGGAGUCCCGGCCGUGUGCAGAUGGACUGUGUUACAAAUUUGAGUGGAUGACCGGAAAGUGGACGGGUUCCUCUCGACUCGUGUGGUGCCAGCGUUCCGAUGGAUUAAACGUGACGGGAGGGUGUCCAAUCAGCAGCCAGCCAGCGUCUGAGAGGUCAUGUGACCCACCAUGUGACAAGCCACAGACGUACUGCACUGAGGCAGGCCUGUGCGCUUGUGAGGAGGGCUACACAGAGGUCAUGAGGUCCGAUGGCGUUCUGGACCAGUGCAUGCUCAUCCCUGUGUUGGAGGUCGAGAAAGCUGAUGUCAAGACUAGCUGGGCGACACACCCCACCCAGGCCACUGCUGGACACCCAGGGAGUUUUGACCACCACUGGUUCUUGCAGCCUUUUGGACCAGAUGGGCUCUUGAAGACAUGGGUGUAUGCAGCAGCAGCGGGGGCCCUGGUGCUGCUCAUUUUUAUAGCCUCUAUGAUCUAUGUCGCCUGCAGCGGUUACUAUGCAAGCCGCCGCUCAGCCUCAGCCCCGGACCCCAGCUCGGUGUGGGGGGGCCAGAGCAUCCACGAGUUGACCUUCAUGUGCCCAGAUCGCCAGGAGCCCAGCGAGCCUGUCAGUUACAGGGUGUGGCCUAGCUACAGGUGCUGACCCUGUGACUCCCCCCCCCUCCCCCAUGUCGCAUACCCCGUUUGGCCAGCUACACGGAGUUGCUGGUGCAGCAAAAAGCCAAAGAAAUCCCAGAAAAGACAAAACAACAGACUGAAACCGCUGACUCUGGCCUACGACGGCGAUGCUGACAUGUAGGAGGGCAGUUGGAGGUGAACCUCAUCCUCGUUCUGUUACCACCUACUAUGGCAGAUUCACUUUUAAAACUGGGAAGGCAAACAUAAUGCUCAUUUUGGGAAAGUGAUAUCAAAGGAGAAUUAGAAGUAGAAGAGAAUGACUCAGUCCUUCACUCCUUGUUUGUUUGCUUGUUUAUUUAAAAUAAUACUUAUAAGACACAGAGACUAAAGCAAAUCUUGCCUUUGCAUUUCUCUGCUUUCCAUUUAAAUAUUUCCGUGAGAGUAGCCGCUGCUGGUGGCAAUGUGUGGCACCACACCGCUGAUGGAUGAGGAGGGACAUUUUUUCCAUGUAAACUAUUCCUGCAUGGGGAGGGGGAGGGGGGGCUCAGUGGUUGCUGGAAUCUUUGAUGUUUCUCGAUUUAAAAUGCAGAAUUUACACAUUCAACGCUAGCUCUUCUCUAUUUCGUGCACAAUAAUGCACUAUAUUAGUGCAGCAAGAUAUGCAGUCCUAUUCAGUAGAUAUUAAAAAUGCACAUUAUUCCUACCGUUGUCACUUCAGUUUAGUACAUUAAUGGAAAAUGACAGUUCAGUUGUGCAAAAUGGUGGGAUGGGAAGAAAUGUAAAAAUGUGUACAUAACUAUAUAUAUAUAUACAUAUAUGUAUAUAUUCAUUUUUGUUAUUGUAACAUUUUUUAAGUUAUUUUUUUGGAACUAGAAGUCUCUUUUUUUCAGCCCAAAUUACUUUGUGUGGUUUCAGCACUGUAUGCUUGUUCUGUUAUAUUGAGGGCUCUGUGCAUUUGUUUAUUGCUUGUUUGUCUGUUUUGUUUUUGACAGCUGGGUUUUGUAAUUCCACAUUUAGGUGGAGUCUUUUCCAGGUGAUCCCAAACUAAUUUCAAGGUUUCGUCUUGUGCCAGUAUCUUCUUCAACAGCCAAUAGCACCAUUGUUGAUGUGUUUUCUUUUGACAGAACGUUCAAAACAGAUGUCACACAAGUUAAGGCCCCAGGCCAAAUUUACAUGUAAGCUUAAAAGCCUCUCACAGUAUUUAAGAGUGUAAGACUGUAAGACAUUACAAAAGAUGUGUGACUUUAACUUGGCUGUGAUGAGUGUAGUUCUACCUGAAACCAUAUAAUAUGGACAGUGACCUGACUCUGUCCUCAUGUGAAACGAUUCAACCAAAAUAAGAUUUUAUAUGUAUUUAGUUCCACUGAAUGAUGUAAAUAAAAUUGAAUAAAAUUACAAAUGGAUAAAAUGUUAAACCAUUUGAUAGCAUGACUGUCUUAGGUAAUUUUCAGUUUUAAGUAUUAUCUUUUCAAAUAUUUAUAUAACUGUAUUUACCAACUCAAACAUAUACUAAAAAAGAUAAUUUGCAUAAAUAAAAACAAGUUCUCAGGAUUAAAGCUUAUACACAGAAAAAUCUUCUUCUGAGUUGGUUUCAUGACACAUGCAUUAUUUAUAUACUUUACAUAAGUUGAAAAGCACUGUUUUGUUUGCUUACCACACAAGCAGAUAUGCUGUUUAAUUACAGAAAGGUUGGGUCUUAACCCAAGCUCACACACUGUCCUGGCUUAUGGAUCCAUGGCACUUCUGGUGGGUCAGCUCCUGUAGGACGUUGGUUCUGCACAGAUUCUGUCCGAGCCUAUCUGCUGAUGGUGAACAUCCCAGGCUGGCUAAAAUGCUAAAAUGCAUGAUUCUGCCAUUUUCCUCAAAGUCAAAGCUACUCAGCAUUUUAGAAGUACAAGGAGUUUGGAUCUAAAAAAACAUUUUUAGUUAGCUGUUUUUUUUUUGUUUGUUUUUCAGUGAUGUGAAUUUGCAAGCAGUAUUUUUAACUAUAUAAAUAUUUGUUUUCUGUUACGCAGAACCCUUGAGCUUGUUGGCUUGAUGUUACUGAUUUCCAUGCUGAUGACUCAUAAUACAUGUGAAAACAAGGAGGUGUGUUGAGUGUUGUUUACAUAUGUAUU
Non-coding RNA from Paramormyrops kingsleyae, 7461 nucleotides. NCBI's taxonomy places the organism in Eukaryota, Metazoa, Chordata, Actinopteri, Osteoglossiformes, Mormyridae. The record is from RefSeq and is a predicted model, not a curated record.